GAUGAACGCUGGCGGCGUGCCUAAUACAUGCAAGUCGAGCGAACAGAUAAGGAGCUUGCUCCUUUGACGUUAGCGGCGGACGGGUGAGUAACACGUGGGUAACCUACCUAUAAGACUGGAAUAACUCCGGGGAACCUGGGCUAAUGCCGGAUAACAUUUAGAACCGCAUGGUUCUAAAGUGAAAGAUGGUUUUGCUAUCACUUAUAGAUGGACCCGCGCCGUAUUAGCUAGUUGGUAAGGUAAUGGCUUAACAAGGCAACGAUACGUAGCCGACCUGAGAGGGUGAUCGGCCACACUGGAACUGAGACACGGUCCAGACUCCUACGGGAGGCAGCAGUAGGGAAUCUUCCGCAAUGGGCGAAAGCCUGACGGAGCAACGCCGCGUGAGUGAUGAAGGGUUUCGGCUCGUAAAACUCUGUUAUUAGGGAAGAACAAACGUGUAAGUAACUGUGCACGUCUUGACGGUACCUAAUCAGAAAGCCACGGCUAACUACGUGCCAGCCGCCGCCGUAA
RNAcentral lists this ribosomal RNA (513 nucleotides) under uncultured bacterium. RNAcentral describes it as "partial 16S ribosomal RNA". It matches the Rfam family "Bacterial small subunit ribosomal RNA", at positions 28 to 523 of the family's 1533-position model. The record is from RNAcentral.